Molecule: ribosomal RNA, 493 nt
Filed under: uncultured bacterium
Lineage: Bacteria
Description: partial 16S ribosomal RNA
Rfam family: Bacterial small subunit ribosomal RNA
Source: RNAcentral
GAUUGAACGCUGGCGGCAUGCUUUACACAUGCAAGUCGAACGGUAACAGGCCUUCGGGUGCUGACGAGUGGCGAACGGGUGAGUAAUGCAUCGGAACGUGCCCAGAGGUGGGGGAUAACGCAGCGAAAGCUGUGCUAAUACCGCAUGUGAUCUGAGGAUGAAAGCGGGGGACCAGGCAGCAAUGUUUGGCCUCGGGCCUUUGGAGCGGCCGAUGUCAGAUUAGGUAGUUGGUGGGGUAAAGGCCUACCAAGCCGACGAUCUGUAGCUGGUCUGAGAGGACGACCAGCCACACUGGGACUGAGACACGGCCCAGACUCCUACGGGAGGCAGCAGUGGGGAAUUUUGGACAAUGGGCGCAAGCCUGAUCCAGCAAUGCCGCGUGCGGGAAGAAGGCCUUCGGGUUGUAAACCGCUUUUGUACGGAACGAAAAGGCUCUGGCUAAUACCUGGGGCUGAUGACGGUACCGUAAGAAUAAGCACCGGCUAACUACGUG